Molecule: non-coding RNA, 45 nt
Filed under: Schistosoma haematobium
Lineage: Eukaryota; Metazoa; Platyhelminthes; Trematoda; Strigeidida; Schistosomatidae
Source: RNAcentral
AUCCAGAUGACGAGCCCCAAAUAGGACGAAACGUGCCUCCUAGAU